RNAcentral lists this unclassified non-coding RNA (373 nucleotides) under fungal sp. Its description in RNAcentral is "partial internal transcribed spacer region". The stretch from base 1 to 46 matches the Rfam family "Eukaryotic small subunit ribosomal RNA", at positions 1786 to 1831 of the family's 1831-position model. The record is from RNAcentral. Lineage: Eukaryota; Fungi.
AAGUCGUAACAAGGUUUCCGUAGGUGAACCUGCGGAAGGAUCAUUAACACGUGAAAACGUAUUAAUAUUCAAACUUACCACACAACCUGUGAAUUUCACCCCGACCUAUUCAAUUGAUACUGUUCUAUACGAUAUGUAGUAGGAUAUAGUCUUUGACUAUAUGCAAUUGUAUAGAUACUAAGGUUUCGAGCCUAAGGUAUCAAUUGUUAGGCAUUUUUUUCUUUUUCGCCUACUACAAAAAGUCCAAAACUAACCUCUUUCACCCUAUUAAAACCAAUUUGACUGAUGUAUGUUGAUGGUCAAGAAAUUGACGUAGUCAACACCAUUUUAUCUAAACUAAGCACAACUCUUAGCAAUGGAUAUCUUGGUUCUC